GACCGGUCUACCACCGGGAUGUUCAUAACCCUUUGUUGUCCGACUCUGUUGCCUCCGGGGCGACCCUGCCUUCGGGCGGGGGCUCCGGGUGGACACUUCAAACUCUUGCGUAACUUUGCAGUCUGAGUAAACUUAAUUAAUAAAUUAAAACUUUUAACAACGGAUCUCUUGGUUCUGGCAUCGAUGAAGAACGCAGCGAAAUGCGAUAAGUAAUGUGAAUUGCAGAAUUCAGUGAAUCAUCGAAUCUUUGAACGCACAUUGCGCCCCCUGGUAUUCCGGGGGGCAUGCCUGUUCGAGCGUCAUUUCACCACUCAAGCCUCGCUUGGUAUUGGGCAUCGCGGUCCGCCGCGUGCCUCAAAUCGACCGGCUGGGUCUUCUGUCCCCUAAGCGUUGUGGAAACUAUUCGCUAAAGGGUGUUCGGGAGGCUACGCCGUAAAACAACCCCAUUUCUAAGGUUGACCUCGGAUCAGGUAGGGAUACCCGCUGAACUUAAGCAUAUCAAUAAGCCGGAGGAA
This 515-nucleotide ribosomal RNA is filed under the name Cladosporium cladosporioides. RNAcentral's name for it is "eukaryotic LSU rRNA". The stretch from base 149 to 302 matches the Rfam family "5.8S ribosomal RNA". The record is from RNAcentral. Lineage: Eukaryota; Fungi; Ascomycota; Dothideomycetes; Cladosporiales; Cladosporiaceae.